AGGGAGAGGUGAGUACCACGUCAGCACUCACAUUCACUGCCAUUACCUGCCACCAGCAGCACUCCAGGAGAUGUGGGUAAAAUAAACAACAGAAAAAUCAGAAGCCAGGAAAGUUGAAUUGCUCUGUGUUUUAUUUGAAGGGUGUGGAAGGAAACCCUGGAGGAAGGAAACGACCUCGCUCGGCUGGUAAGAGAAUGAGAGUUAGAGACAAACUACAAGUUAGUGAGCUCUUUACUAGCCUUUCAACAACGAGUUAGCACAGCAGAAUAGAUCUGUUGUGAAAUUACACCAAUGGGACUUCCUGUUUCAUACUGCAGGCCUGGGAAGUAAACACUUGCCUAAAAAUGAUGAACAUAGAGCACGAGGCUUUCUGCAAGCUCCGCCGCUCCAUGCACCGCACCUCGCCAGCUGACAUCGAUCCGAAGGUCCACAGCAUCGUGGAGAGAGCUGUGAGGAGCAUUCUGGGCGAGCAGUCCAAAGAGCCCAGUAGCAACCUGCUCAGCCCAUCUCAGGUGGUGGUGGAGGUGGUGCCCAGGCUCCUCCUGGCCCUGUGGCUUCAGCCAGAGGAAGGCCAUUCCGAGCACCCAAUCCUAAUAGGUGGGAUGGCCGUGGGCAUGGUGGCGGCCGUAGUGGAGAAGCUCUCCUGCAUGUUAAAGGACCCUUCCCCUCACAUCCCUUUCUCCCGGGCUGCUGCGUUUGACUCUGUGUGGUCGAUCCUCGGUAGAAUCAGUCAGUCCUUCUCCACCGAUGACCUGCAGAGCCCUUUUUAUACGAGCUCUGUUUGUGCCUUUGUGGCGGACGAGGUGCAGAGCUGCUUCCAGCCCUCUGCAGCCCCCCUACCAGUCCCCCCUGUCCUCGCGGUGGCCGCUUCCACCACACUACCAGCUGACAUCCAAGCAGACCCGGCUUCUUCCCACCUCGAGGUUGUAGACAUCACCCCUAACACAGAGGCAUAUCAGGCUUCUUUCCACCUGGAGGUUGUAGACAUCACCCGUAAGACAGAGGCAGACCCGGCAUCUUCCCACCUGGAGGUUGAGGACAUCACCACUAACACAGAGGCAGACCCAGCAUCUUCCCACCUGGAGGUUGAGGACAUCACCACUAACACAGAGGCAGAUCAGGCUUCUUCCCACCUGGAGGUUGUGGACAUCACCCGUAAGACAGAGGCAGACCCGGCAUCUUCCCACCUGGAGGUUGUGGACAUCACCUGUAAGACAGAGGCAGAUCCGGCUUCUUCGCACCUGAAUGUUGUGGACAUCACCAGUAACACAGAGGCAGAUCCGGCUUCUUCCCACCUGAAUGUUGUGGACAUCGCCUCUAAUACAGAGGCAGACCCGGCUUCUUCCCACCUGAAUGUUGUGGACAUAACCCCUAAUACAGAGGCAGAGCCCAUCUCUUCCCUCUUGGAGGUUGUGGACGUCACACCUGAAGAAAGGACUCUCACGAUGGCCUUCUUCGGCACUCUGCCAGCUGACAUCCAAGCAGGUGAGUAACACUUAGAGAGCACUCUGACAGGUGCCGUUUGUCAUGACAUCUUAGUAGAACCUUUCAACUGGCCAGUGUUUAGAAGCUACGGUUGGCAUUUGUUUUCAUUCUGUUCCUUUUUUUCCCCUUUCCAGAGGAUGUUGCUGUGGUCAUCCCGGAUGUCACCAAGGACAUGACACUGGAUGUUCCAUGCAGAGCUAGGAAAGGGGCAGUCCGGCGAUUAUUUUGCAGGCUUUGGAGGGCAGUGUGCUGCUGCGCCUGCCACAAGGAAGAGGAGGAACAAUGUUAAUUAUUCAUCAGACCUUCAGAAAUGGGAUUGAACCAUAGAUCAUUAAAUU
Oncorhynchus kisutch (coho salmon) is the source of this 1823-nucleotide long non-coding RNA. NCBI's taxonomy places the organism in Eukaryota, Metazoa, Chordata, Actinopteri, Salmoniformes, Salmonidae. The record is from Ensembl.